RNAcentral lists this ribosomal RNA (336 nucleotides) under Priceiella rotundiceps. RNAcentral's name for it is "partial small subunit ribosomal RNA". The record is from RNAcentral. Lineage: Eukaryota; Metazoa; Arthropoda; Insecta; Psocodea; Philopteridae.
UCUUUCGAAUCAGAAUGAGUGGAGUAGAAAAUAAAGAGCAUGGCGGUCCUUAAUCUCGUUAGAGGGGCAUGUUACUAUAUUGAUAACGAAUUUGCACGAAGAUCUGUCCUGAUCUCGAAUAUAUUUCAUUUUGUACACCGCUGUCUGAAAGAAAUUAUAAAAGUAUUUUCUUUUCUCUUUAAAAGAAAUAAGGCAAGUUAAGGUGCAGAUAAUGAUCAGGGAGUUAUGUGCUCCAGUAAAAAUUUAUGGAUCAUUCAAGUGAAAUGUUGGUGAGAAAGAGAAUUUAAUAGUAAGAUUAGAAAUUUAACUAACCUGAAGGAGGGCUAUGGAGGGUGU